This 292-nucleotide ribosomal RNA is filed under the name uncultured Mortierella. RNAcentral describes it as "partial 18S ribosomal RNA". The record is from RNAcentral. Lineage: Eukaryota; Fungi; Mortierellomycota; Mortierellomycetes; Mortierellales; Mortierellaceae.
ACGUAAUCAACGCGAGCUGAUGACUCACGCUUACUAGGAAUUCCUCGUUGAAGUCCAAUAAUUGCAAUGGACUAUCCCCAGCACGAUCAAGUUUCAAAAGAUUACCCAGACCUUCCGGCCAAGGUUGUAAACUCGUUGACUUGAUCAGUGUAGCGCGCGUGCGGCCCAGAACAUCUAAGGGCAUCACAGACCUGUUAUUGCCUCAAACUUCCAUUGACUAAUAGUCAAUAGUCCCUCUAAGAAGUUGACGACCAACAAACGUUGGCCUAACUAUUUAGCAGGUUAAGGUCUC